This 497-nucleotide ribosomal RNA is filed under the name uncultured bacterium. RNAcentral's name for it is "partial 16S ribosomal RNA". It matches the Rfam family "Bacterial small subunit ribosomal RNA", at positions 28 to 507 of the family's 1533-position model. The record is from RNAcentral.
GAUGAACGCUGGCGGCGUGCCUAAUACAUGCAAGUCGAGCGAACGGACGAGAAGCUUGCUUCUCUGAUGUUAGCGGCGGACGGGUGAGUAACACGUGGAUAACCUACCUAUAAGACUGGGAUAACUUCGGGAAACCGGAGCUAAUACCGGAUGAUAUUUUGAACCGCAUGGUUCAAAAGUGAAGGACGGUCUUGCUGUCACUUAUAGAUGGAUCCGCGCUGCAUUAGCUAGUUGGUAAGGUAACGGCUUACCAAGGCAACGAUGCAUAGCCGACCUGAGAGGGUGAUCGGCCACACUGGAACUGGAACACGGUCCAGACUCCUACGGGAGGCAGCAGUAGGGAAUCUUCCGCAAUGGGCGAAAGCCUGACGGAGCAACGCCGCGUGAGUGAUGAAGGUCUUCGGAUCGUAAAACUCUGUUAUUAGGGAAGAACAUAUGUGUAAGUAACUGUGCACAUCUUGACGGUACCUGAUCAGAAAGCCACGGCUAACUACGUG